CAGCAAGUCCCGUCUGGGUCUUCCAUGCGGCCUCUUCUCCAUUUCAUCCCUGCGGGGACUUCAUCUGAUGCGCGGUUUUCUUUCCCUCCGACAUAUAUAUACGGAAGCUACACGCUGGUGGUUAACAGACUGUGUCUGUCUGGAAAUAGACCGCAGUCUCACGGUUGUUAAUGCGCGCAUUGGGAGAAUAAUUAAGCUGCAGUUACUUAAAUGCCUUUGUGGCAUUUCAACACAGAAGCUGGCUUCCCAGCUUUUUCUUUCUAACGUGACGUCAUCCUUGGAGCUUGAUUUGGUCACAAACGAACGGUAAG
Thamnophis sirtalis is the source of this 311-nucleotide non-coding RNA. The record is from RefSeq and is a predicted model, not a curated record. Lineage: Eukaryota; Metazoa; Chordata; Lepidosauria; Squamata; Natricidae.